AGUGAACGCUGGCGGUAGGCCUAACACAUGCAGGUCGAACGGCAGCACAGUAAGGGCUUGCUCUUACGGGUGGCGAGUGGCGGACGGGUGAGGAAUACAUCGGAAUCUACUUUUUCGUGGGGGAUAACGUAGGGAAACUUACGCUAAUACCGCAUACGACCUACGGGUGAAAGCAGGGGAUCUUCGGACCUUGCGCGAUUGAAUGAGCCGAUGUCGGAUUAGCUAGUUGGCGGGGUAAAGGCCCACCAAGGCGACGAUACGUAGCUGGUCUGAGAGGAUGAUCAGCCACACUGGAACUGAGACACGGUCCAGACUCCUACGGGAGGCAGCAGUGGGGAAUAUUGAACAAAGGGCGCAAGCCUGAUCCAGCCAUGCCGCGUGGGUGAAGAAGGCCUUCGGGUUCUAAAGCCCUUUUGUUGGGAAAGAAAAGCAGCAGGUUAAUACCCCGCUGUUCUGACGGUACCCAAAGAAUAAGCACCGGCUAACUUCGUG
Molecule: ribosomal RNA, 492 nt
Filed under: uncultured bacterium
Lineage: Bacteria
Description: partial 16S ribosomal RNA
Rfam family: Bacterial small subunit ribosomal RNA
Source: RNAcentral